GAUUAACGCUAGCGGCAGGCAUAAUACAUGCAAGUUGAACGAGAUAAGUUGUAGCAAUACGGCUUUGAAAGUGGCGCACGGGUGCGUAACACGUAUGCAACCUACCUUAUACAGGGGAAUAGCCUCUCGAAAGAGAGAUUAAUACCCCAUAACAUAUAGAUAAGGCAUCUUAUUUAUAUUAAAGUUCCGGCGGUAUAAGAUGGGCAUGCGGCUGAUUAGGUAGUUGGUGAGGUAAUGGCCUCACCAAGCCGACGAUCAGUAGGGGGUCUGAGAGGAUGUCCCCCACACUGGUACUGAGACACGGACCAGACUCCUACGGGAGGCAGCAGUAGGGAAUAUUGGACAAUGGGCGCAAGCCUGAUCCAGCCAUGCCGCGUGCGGGAUGAAGGCCCCUAUGGGUCGUAAACUGCUUUUGUACGGGAAGAAAACCUGCAUACGUGUAUGCAGUUGACGGUACCGUGAGAAUAAGGAUCGGCUAACUUCGUGCCAGCAGCCGCGGUAAUACGAAGGAUCCAAGCGUUGUCCGGAUUUACUGGGUUUAAAGGGUGCGUAGGCGGACUUUUAAGUUAGUGGUGAAAAGCUUGCAGCUUAACUGUAAAAUUGCCAUUGAAAACUGAAAGUCUCGAGUGUGGUUGAGGUAACUGGAAUGUAUCAUGUAGCGGUGAAAUGCUUAGAUAUGAUACAGAACACCGAUUGCG
RNAcentral lists this ribosomal RNA (698 nucleotides) under uncultured bacterium. RNAcentral describes it as "bacterial SSU rRNA". It matches the Rfam family "Bacterial small subunit ribosomal RNA", at positions 28 to 717 of the family's 1533-position model. The record is from RNAcentral.